CAGGGAAUCUUGCGCAAUGGGCGAAAGCCUGACGCAGCGACACCGCGUGGGGGAAGAAGGCCUCAGGGUUGUAAACCCCUUUUCUGGGGGAAGAGAUAGGACGGUACCUCAGGAAUAAGCAUCGGCUAACUACGUGCCAGCAGCCGCGGUAAUACGUAGGAUGCAAGCGUUGUCCGGAUUUACUGGGCGUAAAGGGUGUGUAGGCGGCAUGUUAAGUCUCAUGUGAAAUCUCCCGGCUCAACUGGGAGGGGUCAUGGGAAACUGGCAAGCUGGAGGGCAGCAGAGGAAAGCGGAAUUCCGGGAGUAGUGGUGGAAUGCGUAGAUACCCGGAGGAACACCAGAGGCGAAGGCGGCUUUCUGGGCUGUGCCUGACGCUGAGACACGAAAGCGUGGGGAGCAAACCGGAUUAGAUACCCCCGUAGUCC
This 425-nucleotide ribosomal RNA is filed under the name uncultured prokaryote. RNAcentral's name for it is "bacterial SSU rRNA". It matches the Rfam family "Bacterial small subunit ribosomal RNA", at positions 355 to 796 of the family's 1533-position model. The record is from RNAcentral.